This 390-nucleotide ribosomal RNA is filed under the name Streptococcus sanguinis. RNAcentral's name for it is "bacterial SSU rRNA". It matches the Rfam family "Bacterial small subunit ribosomal RNA", at positions 1144 to 1533 of the family's 1533-position model. The record is from RNAcentral. Lineage: Bacteria; Bacillati; Bacillota; Bacilli; Lactobacillales; Streptococcaceae.
CGAGACUGCCGGUAAUAAACCGGAGGAAGGUGGGGAUGACGUCAAAUCAUCAUGCCCCUUAUGACCUGGGCUACACACGUGCUACAAUGGCUGGUACAACGAGUCGCAAGCCGGUGACGGCAAGCUAAUCUCUGAAAGCCAGUCUCAGUUCGGAUUGUAGGCUGCAACUCGCCUACAUGAAGUCGGAAUCGCUAGUAAUCGCGGAUCAGCACGCCGCGGUGAAUACGUUCCCGGGCCUUGUACACACCGCCCGUCACACCACGAGAGUUUGUAACACCCGAAGUCGGUGAGGUAACCGUAAGGAGCCAGCCGCCUAAGGUGGGAUAGAUGAUUGGGGUGAAGUCGUAACAAGGUAGCCGUAUCGGAAGGUGCGGCUGGAUCACCUCCUUU